Molecule: long non-coding RNA, 5682 nt
Organism: Gallus gallus (chicken)
Lineage: Eukaryota; Metazoa; Chordata; Aves; Galliformes; Phasianidae
Exons: 8
Source: RefSeq, a predicted model, not a curated record
CACAUCAUGGCUACUAGCAGCUCGGGCUCAGAGGAGGCAUGGAGGCUGGGUCUGCUCAGGGCAUGGCUUGCAGCUUGGCCUUCUGCUGCUGCAGCAUGACAAACCACUGCACACCACCACCUCUUAUGCCCCCGGCUCAGCAGAAAGAUAAGGGCCUCUCCAGGGCUUUUGCUGCCUCCACCACCGUGGGUCAACAUCCAGGAAGGAAGACGUUUCUAAGGAAACCACGGAGGCUUUCCACCAAGGUGGUUGCAUGAAAGCGCUGAACUGGUGAGAGUGACAAAAAGCAGUUCAUUGGAUAAUGUAGAAAAAGGGCAUGGACAAAGCUUUACCUGAUUGUCUGGAGCCAGCAUAGAAAGGCAUAACUUUGGGCUUCUUAAGAUCUACAGAUGGAAACCUCCUGGCAGCGUGUGCAGAAACGAUCAGGUCCACAAGGACAACACGGGACAAAUCAAUCAUACAAGAUGGAUGGGGCCAUUGGGUGACGCUUGGGUGAAAACCGCUUCCAGAUUUCACACCAGCUUCGCUUUUGUGCUCCGGCUGAAAACACAGCUUUAUUGCAUGAGCAUAAGUAAUACAGGAAGGCACUUACCACUCCAUUUUGUGCAGCUUUUGUUUGUGAUAGUCUUAAUUUACUGCUGAAGUGAAUCCGAGACUGAUAAUUUUUAUGAUUUUUUACCGAGAAAAGACAUUAAGCUACUUACUUUGGCUGCACUUCCUACGCUGCAGAAAUUAUUUAUCCAAGCACAGCGGCAAAGUGGGUCAGGGGAGGAAUAAUAAUAAUAAUAAUAAAAGAAACCGCCCACAAAAAUCUUGAAUCCCUUGCAGAAGUUGGGUUAAGGCUCAAGAUACUGGAUGCAAACCGCUGCCACGUUCUCCAUUUCAAAGGAAAGGUGUCAGCUCAGGCAGCGAUGUCAAAGGCUGCAAAGUUUGGGCUGCAAAAUCCCACUCCUACCGUUUGCCAUGCUGGCCACAAAGGAACAGAGAGCUGGAUUUGGCUCUGCAAGCUACUCUGCCUUUUCCUCAAGGGAUAUAUACCCCAAGAACUGAGUUGCUUCAUUGAUUCUGUGCAUGGGUAAGCAGCAGUGCCCAUGGGGAGGAGGGGAGAACAGGGAAGAGAAAGCUUUUUUCCCUGUAUUUUCUACCACUAACUGCUCAGUUUGGGUGAAAUAGGAGAGUCACAUCUUUUCCCAACUCUCUGAAGUGAGGGGAACUUUGCUGAGGCCCCAGCUUGAACCGGACCGUGCCCAGAUAUCAUCAGAUCCUGCACAAGAAAAAUAAAGAGCUCAAGUUGCAAAAGAAGAGCGAUGGAGGAGUGAAACUCGAGAGGAGCAUACAGUCCGCUGACAGCUCCCUGCAGCUCAAACCGACCCGUCAGGGCCACAGCAAAGCCUUGGAGCAGCAGCAUUGUGCUCCAGGAAAAUCAGCAUGGUGCAGCCAGGAGGGGAUCAUGCUCAUGCAGAACGAUCUCUGCAGUGGCACCAGAGGAAGAGAUCACACCAUUUGCAAAAGCAAUCUGUGCAGGUGUCCAUUGUCUAGUCUGGGAUUUCACAGGGAAUCUGGUGCCAGGAGCCAUUUGGAUGAUGCCAGACUGCUGAACACAUCCAGAAGCCAGGAGUGAAACAUCUUUGUAAGAAAGAGGAAAUCAAGCCUGGAUUACAGAAACAGAUGCCAUUUAUUCCCAGUCUGGCAAAUGACCCUGGAGUAUAUGGUAAAAAGUGUGAAUAAAACGACACAGACCUCGUCACCAGAGAUUAGUUGUGAACCCUCAGCGUACAACGAAAUCAAACCUCACAGAGUUCACGCCUUUGCUACCACCUGGCAGCCUCCCACUUCAUGUGCACCAAAAGAGCGCCAAGAGUCACUUGGUGAGUGAUGGAAAAACGAAACAAGAACACGAGAUGGUUCUAUUCUGGGGAAAGCACAAAAAUGAAAGGUUCCGUGUGGCCCCACCACUAUAUAUUAAAAGUAGGGCUGCCUGUGAGCUACCGCCGCGGUCGAAGUCGGCAGCUCUUGAGCAGGGCAGGAACCGGCAGAACGGGACUUUCGAAGGAACCCAAAGGACUCCGGGAGAUUUUCCUCGUGACUUCGCUCCCUUCUAGCUACAGAUAGGACUGGGCAGGUCUCUGUCACAACCAGUCUGAUCAGUGCUACCCAAACACAGCAUAGGUGUAGUCUGUGCCCCGAGGAAAUCAGAACUUCAGACAAGCUCAUGCAGGCACUCCCACGCCGGCUGGUGCCAGUGGGGGUGGCGUGAAGGUGAUAGUUGAAAGUCGUUGGGUUUUGUGGUUGGUUUAUGUGUGUGUGUGUGUGUUUUUUUUUCCCUCGCUGAAUCAACAGGGAGUUGUUUUCGACCUUCUGCUUCCUUCAGUGAAGCUGUCAGCUUGUCUUCAGGCUUGGUGAGAAGAAAGGUUGGGCAUAGGGCUGUGCCGGGAGCAUCACCUGGCAGCCUGGGAAUGAGCACAUGAAGGCUUGGAGGAGCCAAGCAGCAGCUUGGGUCCAUGAGAAGGUGCCCAGCUCCUGUUUACAGGAGUGGUUCACUUCAUGCAUAAAACGUGAUCUAGGCUCUAGAGGUCAGGUUGAACCCCAGGGAGGCUGCAGGAGCUCAGCUCUGAUUGUCUUCCAGCUGCAAACAGCUGGAUGAAGCCUUCAGACACCUGGACCAAGGCAGGCUUGGAGCAGAGCUGCAGGUCUCUGCUUGUAGGAUGGAUCGAGUUCCUCCCCCUCCUUAUUGAAAAAUCUCAUAACCGAAAAUCAUCGAGCAGAAGUUCAACAGCUUCAGCAGCUGCAGGCUGCCAAGCAUUCUUGCUGAGUGAGGCUGUUUGGGCAAACCAAAAGAUGGCUAAACCUGGGGCUUGCGUAAACCUUUCUUACCUGGAACAAAAGAUCUGCUUCCAUGGCAGUCAGGUGCACGCAUGAAUGGGGUGAAAACAUGCCCAACCGGUCCCUGUGCAAAAAAAGACAGGUUUGACUGGAAAGGCUGCUUGUGCAGAAAGGGCCUGCCAGCAUCAAAGGCAGAUGUGCUGGGUGCUGCACGUCACGAUUAGCAUCUGCCGGAGCAGAGCCCAGUUUUACAGCACUGAAGGCCACAACUGGCAGCCAGCCUCAGGCUCCAGCAAUGCACCUGGUUUGCAUAAACGCGUCUGAGUCUUUCCAUCCAUCCAACUCCCCAGGAGAGCUGCAGCACCAAAACCCCAGUGCUGCCCGUGCCAGCCAGCUACAGCCCUGUGGCUGCUCACUGCCCGUGUUAAGGAUCUAACCCUGCAAGGUGCAUGCACGGACACUCAGGGCUCACCUGCAGAAGUGGUUGCUUUCAGAUCCUAGUGCUGAUAUGGUUUUGUUUUUCAUUUCACCCAUUUCUCUUUCACUUCCUUCCUGCCCCGCAGGAAGCGAUGGCAAUAAAUACGCCCCAUCACCUGCUCCUCCUGAUCAGAGGUGGCAGCUCCCAGAGCCGCAGGACAAACCCUGCACAUUCCAUGGAGAGGAAAGGGCUGAGGUGGAUAGGACGUGGGGGAAACAAUGGGUAAACCCCCAGCAUCCGAUCACCUUCUGAGCUGCUCAGUGCUCCCCUCAGCCCUCCUGUCCCCCAUCCACCUAUACGCCCAUUUUCAUACACCCAUCACCACCAAAGCUUUUACAUUUAGGACAGGUGGAGAUUUACUGACUUUUUCCACGUGUAAUAAAACAGUACUACUAAUUACGAUAAUAACAGCAAGUGCUAGCUGCGCUCUGCCUGCUUAAUUUUCACCUGCUAUUUAUUUUCAGUUUGAUGUGGUAUUUGCUUCCUGUCAUGCAUUCUUGCAAAUCAUUUCAGUGCCGCCUUAUCUUGCCUAUGUGGUUCACCCAAGGAGUGGCCGAAACGUGGCUCUGACCAAGGGUGUCACCAAGGAGAAGCUCCUGUUCUUCUCAGCUCCUGUAGGAGGGGAAAAAAAAAUGAAGUUUCUCUUUUCCCCUUCUGCCUACAUCCUUACAACCUACUGAGCUGCAGGGAUUUUUGUCCAGCUGCAAAGAAUCUGUUUUUCAUGGAGAAGUGUUGGCACAGCUGUACGCCCUACAAGAUGCCCAGAUCAGGUGAAGGGGCUUCAGGCUUUUUGUUCUUAGAUAAUAUUUCUUUAAAGCUUGGAAUAUUGGUAAAGAGUAAGAGAUGCAGUCAAUAAAAAGAGAUGUACUCAAAGCCUGGGCAUCACCACGAGCAGCUCAAUGCAAACCAAUGAUUGUAUCCAUCACAUCCUCUCCAGUCAGGAGCUAGUGGGUCCUUCUCACAUCCACCUAACAGUGGCAUUGGGUCCCUUGCAUCCAACUCCCCCUGUGUACCAGGUCCCAAAGGGUGACCCCAUUUCCCUGGCAGAGGCCCUAGGGGCUCAAACCCAAAAGCAGGACGCAAGGCACACUGGGCUAUUUAGUUGUGUUAUGAGCUUUUAUUUAAAAAGCACAUUUAUACAGCAAUAAUUUCGCAGAUACAAACUUUCAUUUUGUAUUCUACAAAAGUCUUUGAAUAUUCUUCUCUUUACAAAAUGGAACAUUACAAAAAUACAGACAAUUUAAUAUGGUUUUUUUUUUAUACAAAUGUCUCUAAUUGUAGUUAUUUUCAUUAAAAUAUUACUACCACAGAACUACAAUAUUUUAGUCGACUAUAAAAAAAUUAAUUCAAUGCUUCUUUAAGCAGCAAAAUGUAAAUAACACAGGUCAGGACACAGUUUAUAGUCAUAGUGGAUAUAUCUAAAAUUGUUUCAGAAAUAAUAUUUUACAUAGUUAAUUUUUAAGGUUUUAUACAUUAUUUAUAUAAUAUUUAUAUAUAAAAAAAUCAUAGCUUGCUAUAGUUGAAAUGAUAGGACGGAUUCUGUACGAAGGAUGUGCAAAUGGCCAUUCUGCAUGCUUUGUGUGAUCCCUUUGCCAACGCGCUCUGUGAAAGAUCUGCAAGCCAAAAACUUGUGGUUUCUGGGCAAAAAAAAUGAAAAUCCUACAAAUCACACUGGGUAGAAGCACGGCUGGCUUCCCACUGGUGUCACCAAGCAGAGCACCAGGAUGCCAAUGGGAGAAAUGGGGGAUGUACAAACGGACUGACACCCAGGCUGGGACGGGCUGCCCAGCAGCCCGUCCCAAAAGAGCAGAAUUCAAGGUUCCCCAGGACUCAGCCCUGAGGUUGUAGUGCGAACAAGGUCUCCAGCCAAGCCACCGCUACCCAAACCGUGAGCGCGCAGAAUGCCUGCUGCCAUUCAGAGGGGGGAGGACCAGGAACUGGAGGAUGCUCUUUUCCAUUUUAGGGCCAUUUGCAGCUGCUGCGCACGCCCUGUGGCUCAGGAUGAUGCCUCGCCAGGAAGCGAGCGGGAAGGAAGAAAUGUGGGUCUGUGCUCCAAGGGUACAUUUGUUCAGCCUGGCCGCACAUCUCAGGACUGCUUGUGAAAGGUGCGUGGUGUGAACAGAGACCCCUCCGGAGAUCCUUGGCUGGGCAAGCUCCUUCUAUGCUAAGUCACAGUAUGGAAAAGAGGAGGCAGAAACAAACUAGCAUCCAAAAUAAAAAAAAAUAGCAACUCUUACAAACCAAUCCCAGAUCUUGACUCAGUGCUGUUUCUCGUAUGUAGUGCUAUGUAAUUUGCGAGCUGGUUUUUUUCUUGCCUGCAUUAGAAAUCUUCAUCAUCAAAAAAUAAUAUAAAAACCCUAAGAUGGCCAGCUUUCCAAAAU